Molecule: long non-coding RNA, 2033 nt
Filed under: Lucilia cuprina (Australian sheep blowfly)
Lineage: Eukaryota; Metazoa; Arthropoda; Insecta; Diptera; Calliphoridae
Description: uncharacterized LOC124420872
Source: RNAcentral
AACGCAAUUAAAAUUAAACUACAUUAGUAGCAAAUUUUGUUUAAGAGAAUUACAAUUUCAAAACAUUAACUUUUGAAAAAUAUGUUUAAUUUCAAUACUGAACAAAGACUAGUCUAUAGACUAACUAGCCAAUAGACCAGACUCAACUAGACUCUGACUAUUCAAUAGACCAGCCUAUAGCCUAGUCAAUAGAAUACUAUUUUGAACAAGUUUAUAUGCUAAUGAAUAGAAUAGUUAAUAUACUAGUCAGUAAACUAGUGGUUUCAUAAACUAGACCAUGGACCUGUUAAGAGCUUAGGUAUUUAACUAUUCAAUAGACCAGCCCAUUAACUAGUCAAUAUAAUAGUUUAAAGACUACUCAUUGACUAGUUAGAGGACUAGUUACCAAACACAUCAAUAUAGUUUAUAAACUAAUAAAUUACUGACUAGUUAGAAGAACCGUUGAGAGACUAGUUAGUAGACUCGUUAACGGACUAGUUGACAGUUUAUAAACUAGUCCAUAGACUGGUCAAUAGUUCGGUGCAUUGACUAGUCAGUAGACCAGUUUAUAGACUACUUAGUUGCCAGUUUAUAAACUAGUCAGUAGACCAGUCCAUAGACUCGUCAAUAGUCAAGUGUAUUGACUAGUCAGUAGACCAGUUUAUAUACUACUCAGUUGAACAGUUCAAAGACUAGUUGAGGGACUAGUUAUAAGAUCAUUGACUAUCAUUAUAAUAGUUUAAAGACUACUCUUUGACUAGCUAGUAGACUAGUUACCAAACGCAUCAAUAUAGUUUAUAAACUAGUCCAUAAUUUACUGACUAGUUAGGAGAACAGUUCAAAGACUAGUUAGUAGACCCGUUCACGGACUAGUUGACAGUUUAUAAACUAGUUAGUAGACCAGUCCAUAGACACAUAGACAAUAGUCUAGUGCAUUGACAAGUCAGUAGACCGGUUUAUAUACUACUCAGUAGAACAGUUCAAAGACUAGUUGAGCGACUAGUUAUAAGAUCAGUCCAUAGAGUAAUCAACAGAACAAUCCAUAGACUAACCAAUUGACUAGCUCAAAGACCAGUUUAUUUAAUAGUUCAAAGACUAAACAGAGAACCAGUUAAUAUGUAGACCCAUCCAUAGACUAGUCAUAAGAAUAUUAUUUGGACUAAUCAAUAGAUAAAACCAAAUACUGGUAAAUAGAAUUGUCUAAAGACCAGUUUAUAGACUAGUCAAUAAAAUAUUCUUUGUACUAAUCAAUAGAUCAAACUAUAGACUAGUCAAUAGAAUUGUCCAAAGACUAAUACAAAGACUACUCAUAUACUAAUUCGUUAAUUUUCGAAAAAAAAAUUAAUUUCAUAUAAACUUUCUUUACAAAUUUGAUUUGAAAGUUCUCAUAUUGGAAACUACACACAUAUAUUUUCAGAAAAGGAUUUUCCCUAAUUAAAGUUUAACUAUAAUAAUAACAAAGAAAAAACUACGAAUUUAGUAGCUAUUAACUUAAAACGUUAAUUCUCCUAAACAAAAUUAUAACUAAUGUAGUUUUAAAAAAAAUAAUAAUAAAAAAAACAAAAUGACCUAAACAAAAUAAAUUAAAUGAAUUAAAUAACUUAUUGUUUUUGUAGAUUAGUUUUCCUUAAUUUCAUUUAAACAUUAAACUGAAACCACCUGAUGUUUUAAGUUGAUUAUUAUUAUUAUUAAUGUAGUAAAACCAAACAUAAUUUUUGCAAUAGGAAUAGUAGAGAAUAUUAGAAUAAAUAGUCAAUGAAUAAAUAUUAAAUAAUAAAAACAAAAAGAAAAAAGAAACAAAAAAGCAUUAGUUAAGCCUCCUUUCUCCUGAUAAAACAUUUAAAAACUAACUCUCGUAACUCUCUCUCUAACUAUAUAUCUCUGUCCCUAUCUGCCAUUAUCAUAUUCCUUAAACAAAACCUAAUACUCCUAAACCUGCUCCUUCUAAAACAAACCAUAACCAAUGAACAAAACAAACAAUUUAAUAAUAAAUAUAUUUUAAAACAAAACAACUAGCCCUCCUAUUAAAACAUUUUACAAAAAAAAAAAAAAAA